This 510-nucleotide ribosomal RNA is filed under the name uncultured bacterium. Its description in RNAcentral is "bacterial SSU rRNA". It matches the Rfam family "Bacterial small subunit ribosomal RNA", at positions 1 to 507 of the family's 1533-position model. The record is from RNAcentral.
CGUACGAUACGAGUUUGAAUCCUGGCUCAGGAUGAACGCUGGCGGCGUGCCUAACACAUGCAAGUCGAGCGGUAUAUACUGGAACGAAACUUCGGUCUAGAGAAGGUAUAGAGAGCGGCGGACGGGUGAGUAACGCGUAGGCAACCUGCCCCAUACAGAGGGAUAGCCUCGGGAAACCGGGAUUAAAACCUCAUAGCACGAGAGUUUCACAUGUUACUUUCGUCAAAGAUUUAUCGGUAUGGGAUGGGCCUGCGUCUGAUUAGCUAGUUGGUGAGGUAACGGCUCACCAAGGCAACGAUCAGUAGCCGACCUGAGAGGGUAAUCGGCCACAUUGGAACUGAGACACGGUCCAAACUCCUACGGGAGGCAGCAGUGGGGAAUAUUGCACAAUGGGCGAAAGCCUGAUGCAGCAACGCCGCGUGAGCGAUGAAGGCCUUUGGGUCGUAAAGCUCUGUCCUUGGGGAGAAAAAAAUGACGGUACCCUUGGAGGAAGCCCCGGCUAACUACGUG